This is a long non-coding RNA of Rhinichthys klamathensis goyatoka, 386 nucleotides long. RefSeq lists it as uncharacterized. Lineage: Eukaryota; Metazoa; Chordata; Actinopteri; Cypriniformes; Leuciscidae. The transcript has 2 exons. The record is from RefSeq and is a predicted model, not a curated record.
CCAGGGCUGACUGUUUACUUUGGACCCAUAAUGCAGGCCUGACGGGUUUGUUUGCCAUGGAAUCUGGCUCUGUGACAUACCGAGAGCACAGUGCCGUUUUAUGUCAUGAAUCUGUAUUGAGUGACACAAAAAGAUUUGACACAUAUGCACUUCAGAUUCGCAGAACCACUGAGAUCUGUCUAUAUAUUGUAACGUUCAUUACUACAGAUUCUGCUCUGGGCACUUGACUAUCCAUUUAAGAUCCACAUAAACAAUAAUACAGUCCAUCAAUACAUCUUUGAAUAAGCAUGACCACCCUUUAAAGGAAUGUUGGAAUGAUAGGUUGAAUGAUUAAAUAUGUAUGGCACGCAUGGCAUUUCAUCACAUUAAUGUGAGAGUAAACUAGA